RNAcentral lists this ribosomal RNA (911 nucleotides) under uncultured bacterium. RNAcentral's name for it is "bacterial SSU rRNA". It matches the Rfam family "Bacterial small subunit ribosomal RNA", at positions 8 to 916 of the family's 1533-position model. The record is from RNAcentral.
AGAGUUUGAUCCUGGCUCAGGACGAACGCUGGCGGCGUGCCUAAUACAUGCAAGUCGAACGAGGACCAAGGAGCUUGCUCCUUGUAGCCGAGUGGCGAACGGGUGAGUAACACGUGACCAACCUGUCCUAGGGUGAGGGACAACCUGGGGAAACCCGGGCUAAUACCACAUGACGUCUCGUCAUCGCAUGGUGGUGAGAUCAAAGAGGGCCUCUGCUUGCAAGCUCUCGCCCAAGGAGGGGGUCGCGACGUAUCAGCUAGUUGGUGGGGUAAUGGCCUACCAAGGCUACGACGCGUAGCGGGUCUGAGAGGACGACCCGUCACAUUGGGACUGAGAUACGGCCCAGACUCCUACGGGAGGCAGCAGUAGGGAAUAUUGCGCAAUGCGCGAAAGCGUGACGGAGCAAUGCCGCGUGAAGGAUGAAGCACCUCGGUGUGUAAACUUCUGUCAGGGUUUAGGAAUCCAUGACCAGACCCAAAGGAAGAACCGGCUAACUCUGUGCCAGCAGCCGCGGUAAUACAGAGGGUUCGAGCGUUAAUCGGAAUCACUGGGCUUAAAGGGUGCGCAGGCGGACCCGUCAGUGUCUUGUGAAAUCCCACGGCUUAACCGUGGAACUGCAGGGCAUACUGCGGGUCUUGAACCCGGCAGGGGCAAUCGGAACUCUAGGUGGAGCGGUGAAAUGCGUAGAUAUCUAGAGGAACGCCAAAGGCGAAGGCAGAUUGCUGGGCCGGUGUUGACGCUCAGGCACGAAAGCGUGGGUAGCGAACGGGAUUAGAUACCCCGGUAGUCCACGCCCUAAACGAUGUGUACUAGAUCGAGGAAGUUUUGACGCUAUCUCGGUCGGAGCAAAAGUAUUAAGUACACCGCCUGGGGAGUACGGUCGCAAGGCUAAAACUCAAAGGAAUUGACGG